GACAGUGCUUAAGUGUUUGGCUGCUAACCAAAAAGUUGGUGGUUCGAACCCACCAGCUGUUC
This 62-nucleotide transfer RNA is filed under the name Loxodonta africana (African savanna elephant). It matches the Rfam family "tRNA". Rfam says of the family: Transfer RNA (tRNA) molecules are approximately 80 nucleotides in length. Lineage: Eukaryota; Metazoa; Chordata; Mammalia; Proboscidea; Elephantidae. The record is from Rfam by way of RNAcentral.